Molecule: non-coding RNA, 1239 nt
Organism: Phasianus colchicus (ring-necked pheasant)
Lineage: Eukaryota; Metazoa; Chordata; Aves; Galliformes; Phasianidae
Source: RefSeq, a predicted model, not a curated record
UAUUUUGCAGAGGAAAAAGACAGAAUGCUGAGUAAGUCUCCUUCCCCAACUUGAAGGAAGUCAAAGUCCUCCACGGCAUUAGCCAUGGGAUGAGCAUCAGUCCCCUCUGACCAUGCAUUUCAUUUGCUUCUAUUUUGCAGAGGAAACAGAUGCAGAGUUGGAGAUACGAAAAUUACUGAGUAAGUUGUGGUCACUAAAUUGAGGGAAUUUGGAGUCUUCAUAAAGGACUACAAAUUGGAUGAAAAAUCCCCUCUGACAAGCACUGCUUUUCUCCUUCUAUUCCAGGGAGACAGUAUGAAAACACAGGUGAGUUUUCUGUCCCAAAUAAAAAGUGUUGGAGUCUUUCUAUAUGAGCUGUGGGAUGAGAUGCUCCUCUCAUCACACGCUGUUUGUGCUUCUCCUUUGCACUUUUACGUGCUGUGAAUCUGAGUAAGUCUUUCCCCCACACUGAACAAAUUUGGGCACUUUCUAUGGUAUCAGCCAAGGGAUGAUAAUCUGACCCUUCUCAUCAUGCAUUUCUUAUUCAUUUCUUUCGCAGAGAAACGCACUGUAGAACCGGGUGAGUCUCCCUUUUCAAAUGCUGGGGUCUGCCUGUGGGAGCUGUGGAUGAGAUGUUCCUCUCAUCAUGCUUUGUUUUUCUUUUUCCAGUGGAACAAACUGAAGCAGGGGGUGAGUCUUCCCCAAACCGAAGGAAUUUGGGUUUUCCCGUGGGAUGACAAGCUGUCCCACCUCAGCAUCCGUUGCUUUCUUCUUUCUGUUCCAGAAAAACCAUCUGAAGAAUCAGGCUAAGAGAUGAACUGCACCUCACAGUAACCACAGGAGUUAAGCUUCAUAGACUGCUGAUUGCACAGGAUACCAAGACCACAAGAAUUCCAAUGAGAAAGGAAAUCCACAUUAAAACAAGCGGAGCCAGUGUUUGUAUUGAGUGAGAACACUGCAGUUCUGUGAGCCAAAGCUGCCUGAGGGACCACCGAACUCAGGAUGUGGGACCUCCAACUCAAAUCCAAUUGGAAGAAAGAAAACAUAGAAAGGGAGAAAAUGGGUGGAGAGGGAGUGCCUGGAGAAGAUAUAGACAUUUUGGGAAAUAGUGUGAUCAUGUGUCAGGAUUUGUGGAAAUCUCACGAGUAUGUAAUGCUUUUGGAAAUAUAAGAAUGCACACAGAAGGAAAGGGAGAAAACUGCUUUAGGUGUUAACACUGUUCUCUGUCACAAUAUAAUAAAGCAUACCUGCUGAUGGUAA